Molecule: ribosomal RNA, 253 nt
Filed under: uncultured bacterium
Lineage: Bacteria
Description: partial 16S ribosomal RNA
Rfam family: Bacterial small subunit ribosomal RNA
Source: RNAcentral
UACAGAGGUGGCAAGCGUUGUUCGGAAUUACUGGGCGUAAAGGGCGCGUAGGCGGCCCGUCAAGUCCCGUGUGAAAGCCCCCGGCUCAACCGGGGAACGGCGCGGGAAACUGGCAGGCUUGAGUUCGGGAGAGGGAAGCGGAAUUCCGGGUGUAGCGGUGGAAUGCGUAGAGAUCCGGAAGAACACCGGUGGCGAAGGCGGUCUGCUGGGCAGUUGCUGACACUGAGGCGCGACAGCGUGGGGAGCAAACAGG